RNAcentral lists this small RNA (120 nucleotides) under Marmota monax (woodchuck). The record is from RNAcentral. Lineage: Eukaryota; Metazoa; Chordata; Mammalia; Rodentia; Sciuridae.
GCCGGGCGUGGUGGCGCACACCUGUAAUCCCUGUGGCUCCGGGAGGCUGAGGCAGGAGGAUCAUGAGUUCAGCCUCCGCAAAAGCGAGGCCCUAAGCAACUCAGUGAGACCCUGUCUCUA